CAACAAUGCACAUUCAUUAUCAAUGAAAUCUCUUUUUCAUCCGUCCCUGGUGGCCCUCGGGCCCGUUUUUGCGAUUCCUUUGAAGCAACAGAAGAUUGAUGAAGUUGUCCGCGUCGAUCAUGCAGGUGAGGUGGCCGCUGUUCGUAUUGCGAGGCACCAGCUUGAGUGGAUGUCGCCACUGGACGAUGCGUUCCCAAUCACGCAAGAAAUCCUGGCCGACGAACUUGUCCACCAGCGAGUGAUGUCUGAGCUUGCCAAGCAGCACGGUGUGCGGACCACUUCGCUUGAUCCCCUUUUCAAACUCGGAGCAUUUGCCUUGGGUGCUGGGACGGCAGCGCUAGGCAAGGGUGCGAUGAUGUGCUGCCAUGCAGCUGUUGAAACUACCAUUUUCAACCACUAUAACGAUCAGCUCCGCGAGCUCGAGGUGCUCGAGGACAGCUGCUCCGAUAUUAAAGAGAGCGAAGCCGAGAAGGAGGCCUGGGCGGAUGUUAAAAGCUACAUUGUGAAGUUUAGAGAUGAGGAGAAGCAUCACCAAGAGCUAGGGGAGCAGAACGGUGCUGAUCAAGCCCCUGCCUAUCCGCUUCUCUACAAUGGCAUACGACUUGCGUGCAAAAUUGGCGUUGCGUGCGCCAAGCGUAUCUGAGCUGCUCAUCGAGCUUGCUCGAACUCUUACCCUUCGAGUGUCAUUUCCUACGUCUUC
RNAcentral lists this unclassified non-coding RNA (700 nucleotides) under Leishmania donovani. RNAcentral describes it as "gene:LdHU3.29.3660(CDS-product:Ubiquinone_biosynt hesis_protein_COQ7_putative)". The record is from RNAcentral. Lineage: Eukaryota; Euglenozoa; Kinetoplastea; Trypanosomatida; Trypanosomatidae.